AUUGAACGCUGGCGGCAGGCCUAACACAUGCAAGUCGAGCGGAUGAAGGGAGCUUGCUCCUGGAUUCAGCGGCGGACGGGUGAGUAAUGCCUAGGAAUCUGCCUGGUAGUGGGGGAUAACGUCCGGAAACGGGCGCUAAUACCGCAUACGUCCUGAGGGAGAAAGUGGGGGAUCUUCGGACCUCACGCUAUCAGAUGUACCUAGGUCGGAUUAGCUAGUUGGUGGGGUAAAGGCCUACCAAGGCGACGAUCCGUAACUGGUCUGAGAGGAUGAUCAGUCACACUGGAACUGAGACACGGUCCAGACUCCUACGGGAGGCAGCAGUGGGGAAUAUUGGACAAUGGGCGAAAGCCUGAUCCAGCCAUGCCGCGUGUGUGAAGAAGGUCUUCGGAUUGUAAAGCACUUUAAGUUGGGAGGAAGGGCAGUAAGUUAAUACCUUGCUGUUUUGACGUUACCAACAGAAUAAGCACCGGCUAACUUCGUG
This 484-nucleotide ribosomal RNA is filed under the name uncultured bacterium. Its description in RNAcentral is "partial 16S ribosomal RNA". It matches the Rfam family "Bacterial small subunit ribosomal RNA", at positions 30 to 507 of the family's 1533-position model. The record is from RNAcentral.